AUGGACGACUACCUCAAGCUACAUCAAGUCCCUUCCAAAGAUCAAGUGAAGUGCGCCACAAGAAACUUCCAUGACUACGCCUCGACAUUGUGGCUUCACACACCUUCGGAGAGCUACAAGAUGAGUUGGCCCAAGACGAAGAGAGCUUUGAGGCAAGAGUUCGUGCCUCCAACCUACACGGAACAACUUCGACGCCAAUUGGAGAACACCAUCCAAGCAUCCAAGUCCAUCGACAAGUACUUCAAGGAGAUGAAGAUUCCCUUGCGACGAGCCGGCAUGGACGACCCCAUUUCGAUGAAGUUCCACUUCAUGAUGGGAUUGAACAACGACAUCUCCAAGACUAUCUUCCUCGAGAACUACAAGUCCAUCGACGACUACUACAUUGGUGCUCUCAAGGCGGAACAAGAACUCAUGAAGGCCAAGGCUUCUCCACCCCAAGCACACUUCACGGUGACCAAGCUCUACGACAAGCAUGAGGCUAGUACCACCACGAUGUCCAAGCCCGAUGAGCUCCAAGACGAUGCUCCCAAGUUCGACUUCACCGCCAUCCCUCUUUGUGGCAUUGAUGGUGACGAGUCUACUUCGACUCUUUUUCAAGAUGGUGCGGCGAUGAGUACGACUACGGAGACCCUCAAGGACCAAGCUUUGGAGGCGAGCAACAAGGUGGCGAGCGAGGAUGAUGCUUCCAUCUUUGGAGGCGAGAGUGAUGAUGUGCCGUCUUCGGCCUUCAUCCACGGCGACGAUGACGAGAUGAUCGAGCAUGGGAUUUUCCCUUCGGUCAUGGAGGAGAGUGAUGAUGUGCCAUCUUCGGCCUUCAUCCACGGCGACGAUGACAAGAUGGUUGAGCAUGGGAUUUUCCCUUCGAUCACGGCGACGUAUGAUGACUUGAGUGACUUUUGCCACCAUAUUGAGAGUGAGAGUGACUUCACCACUUGCCCCAUAUAUGACGAGUUGCCCCAAUUUCCAUGUGAGGAGAUCCACAACCCCCACCACUUGUGUGAGAUGAGUGACUCCACCAUAUGUGACUUUGAGGGAGUUAGUGAACCACCACAUAGAGAGAGUGAGAUAGUUGAUAGGUCUCGUGAGGCCAUUUGCAUUUCUAACAACUUGACCUCUACCUCUAUUGUGUCUUCUUAUUUGGUGCUAGGUCCCAUUUAUGAUGACACGCCGAUCCUCGACGACUUCGUCCUCCCUUUGGACAAGACGAUGGCCAUGGUGGAAUAUGAUGCACCCCCCACAUGGUUCCAUCAAGAUGAAGAUGACCACCAUUUGGUCUUUCCCACCUCACCUAUACCAUGUGAGUGGAAUGACAAAGGUAACAAAGGUGAUGGUGAUGCGCUAGUCCCACUAGUGGACAUUCGUGACAUUGAUUGCUUGCAUGAUGUUGAUCCACCUAGUACCAUGCUUCAUGCUAGUAUGAUUUCCCCAUGCGAUGAUUUCCCCAUGCAAUGA
This 1452-nucleotide ribosomal RNA is filed under the name Triticum aestivum (bread wheat). RNAcentral's name for it is "partial small subunit ribosomal RNA". Lineage: Eukaryota; Viridiplantae; Streptophyta; Magnoliopsida; Poales; Poaceae. The record is from RNAcentral.